This 253-nucleotide ribosomal RNA is filed under the name uncultured bacterium. RNAcentral describes it as "partial 16S ribosomal RNA". It matches the Rfam family "Bacterial small subunit ribosomal RNA", at positions 524 to 776 of the family's 1533-position model. The record is from RNAcentral.
UACGUAGGGUGCAAGCGUUGUCCGGAAUUAUUGGGCGUAAAGAGCUUGUAGGCGGUUUGUCGCGUCUGCUGUGAAAUUUCGGGGCUCAACCCCGAACUUGCAGUGGGUACGGGCAGACUAGAGUGUGGUAGGGGAGACUGGAAUUCCUGGUGUAGCGGUGAAAUGCGCAGAUAUCGUAAGGAAGACCAGGGGCGAAGGCGGGUCGCUGGACAGUGCCUGACGCUGAGGCACGAAGGCCAGGGGAGCAAACGGG